RNAcentral lists this ribosomal RNA (292 nucleotides) under Candidatus Midichloria mitochondrii. RNAcentral describes it as "partial 16S ribosomal RNA". It matches the Rfam family "Bacterial small subunit ribosomal RNA", at positions 528 to 819 of the family's 1533-position model. Lineage: Bacteria; Pseudomonadati; Pseudomonadota; Alphaproteobacteria; Rickettsiales; Candidatus Midichloriaceae. The record is from RNAcentral.
AAGGGGGCUAGCGUUACUCGGAAUUAUUGGGCGUAAAGCGUGCGUAGGCUGCUUAGUAAGUCAAAAGUGAAAGCCUUGGGCUCAACCUAAGAAUUGCUUUUGAAACUACCAAGCUUGAGUACUGUAGGGGAUAGCGGAAUUCCUAGUGUAGGGGUGAAAUUCGUAGAUAUUAGGAGGAACACCGGAGGCGAAAGCGGUUAUCUGGACAGUUACUGACGCUGUUGCACGAAAGCGUGGGGAGCAAACAGGAUUAGAUACCCUGGUAGUCCACGCUGUAAACGAUGAGUGCUAA